Capsicum annuum is the source of this 3906-nucleotide long non-coding RNA. RefSeq lists it as uncharacterized. The transcript is spliced from 2 exons. Lineage: Eukaryota; Viridiplantae; Streptophyta; Magnoliopsida; Solanales; Solanaceae. The record is from RefSeq and is a predicted model, not a curated record.
GUAAUUUUGUCCCUCCUGAUAACCCAAUUCAUCCAUUUUUUUUAACCUCACGUUACCUUACACCCCACCCGUGUGAUUAUGCCCCACAAAAAUAAUAAAAUUUUAAUAAAUUCCUAAUAUUUUCUUAUCCUAACAAAUUUUAUCACAACACAUCACUACCCCAUACCACCUCACUACCAUACUCCUCGUAUUUUAUUCCACUUUGUUGAGGACCUCACCAUUUCCAUUGAUAUACAAGACAACAUUCACAUGGGGGGACCCACAUCAUUAUUAUUAUUAUAUUCUCACCAUAGAAAAUACAUACAGAAAGAAAGGGAACAAUUCUCCAUCAUCAUCAUCAAUAUUCCCCUUCACAAGAUAUACCAACACAUAGGCUUUCCAUCACCAUAUUCACAUAUAGAGCACACACAGAUCUCUCAGAUAACACUCACCAGUGACAUUAAUAUGCAGAGACGCGAAAGAAAGAAUAGAUUAUAGAGGGAGAAGAUGACAACAAAGAGAGGAGAGGCAAAGAGGAUGUGAGAAAGAGAAUAGAUUAGAGAAAGGGGAUAUUAGUCACCACCGUUAAGCUCGCCGAAGCUCCGGCGAUGCAACAACAGUCACUGGAGAACUCCACUGGUAGCAAGUCCGGCGACCAAAGCCUCACGGAAUCCCAAAACUCCAUCACCAUCGGCAAAAUUCGCCGAUAAAAUCCCGUUAACCACCACUCCAGUCAGCUCAAAUCACCGGCGAACAAAUGCAUGGCAGUUCGUCCAGCUCCCCUUCUCAUGACCCACAUAAAAAUACAGAGAGAAAAUGGGUCUGGGUAAAUAGAAUUUGGAGUCGAGAUUUUCUAAUUGGGUUUUGAUGUCAAGGUUCGUUGGUUCAUGUGCUCUGAUCCAUCGCUAAUUGUUCGAAAUAAAAUUAAGGAACACAUGUCACCUUCAAAUCAAGGAUUUCAAAGCCAAAACAUCAAGGCCCCUAAUUUCUUGCUUUGACAAAUGUAGGAAGCAAUGUUGCUGCACAGGUUUGAUAAUUAAAUCAUGGUAAAAAUUCAUCAUCUUAUAUCCCUCGGAAACACACUUUCUUGUCCAGGGAUUUUAGUUUUAAUUUGCUGGGUGAUACACUUCUUAAAUUGAACCUUCACUCCUAGAAGACGUACCUUCUAGUCCAGUCAUUUCCUUUGACUCUUAGAAGACGUACCUUUUAGUCGAGUCAUCCCCCUUGAUUCCUAUAAGACGUACCUUUUAGUCGAGUCAUUAUCCUUGAUUCCUAUAAGACAUACCUUUUAGUCGAGUCAUUUUAUUUGAUUCCUAUAAGACGUACCUUUUAGUCGAGUCAUUCCCUUUGAUUCCUAGAAGAUGUACCUUUUAGUCAAGUCAUCCCCCUUGAUUCCUAGAAGACGUACCUUUUAGUCGAGUCAUUCCUCUUGACCCCUAUAAGACGUACCUUUUAGUCGAGUCAUCCCCUUGAUUCCUAUAAGAUGUACCUUUUAGUCGAGUCAUCUCCCCUUGACCCCUAGAAGACGUACCUUUUAGUCGAGUCAUCUCCCCUCGACCCUUAGAAGAUGUACCUUUUAGUUGAGUCAUUCCCCUUGAACCCUCGAAUACGUACUUUUUAGUCGAAUCAUCUCCCUUGAUUCCUAUAAGAUGUACCUUUUAGUCGAGUCAUUCCCCUUGAUUCCUAUAAAAUGUACCUUUUAGUCGAGUCAUCCCCCUUGAUUCCUAUAAGACAUACCUUUUAAUUGAGUCAUUCCCCUUGAUUCCUAUAAGACGUACCUUUUAGUCGAGUCAUUCCCCUUGAUUCCUAUAAGAAGUACCUUUUAGUCGAGUCAUCCCCCUUGAUUCCUAUAAGACGUACCCUUUAUUCGAGUCAUCUCCCUUGAUUCCUAUAAGACGUGCCUUUUAUUUGAGUCAUCCCCCUUGAUUCCUAUAAGACGUACCCUUUAGUCGAGUCAUCUCCCUUGAUUCCUAUAAAGCGUGCCUUUUAGUCGAGUCAUUCUCCUUGAUUUCUAUAAGGCGUACCUUUUAGUCUAGUCAUUAUCUUUGAUAACUAUAAUGAUGCGACUUUCACAAAAGUCCUUUGAUGAUAAACUAGGGCAAAAUUUAAUUCUUGUGUUUGGAACUUCACUUUUCUGGCAAGUGAAAUCUCUUUAUAAUAAUCUUUGUUUGGGAUAAUUUUCUUUUUAGUUUUGAUGUGAUUUCAGGAGCCCUCCUGAUGAACGUGGUGAAUAAAAUGAAAGUCAAGAAACAAAGUGAAGAAAUUGAAAGACAACAUAUGGAAAUAGCUAGUCAGGAGCCCGCCUGAAGAACGGGGUGAUGAAACGGCAAGCCAGGAGCCUGCCUGAAGAAUAGGGUGAUGAAAUUGUAAGUUAAGAGUCUGCCUGAAGAACAGGGUGAAUAACUGAAAAGUCAAGCAACAUGAGGAAGAAAUUGAAAACCAAGCAACAAAUUGAAGAAAUUGCAAGUCAGGAGCCCGCCUGAAGAACAGGAUGAUAAAAUAGCAAGUCAAGAGUCAAAGAAACUGCAUAGAUAGGAUUUCUGUAAUUUCUUUUAAGUUUUAACUUAUAAUUUUCAUUUUUGAUGUAGUGAUAGAGCCACGGACUGGAACCUCGACGGGACCUCACUCGACUCUCCAACUCGGUUGUCCUUCUUCCUUUUGUUUCUUUCUUUGAAUAAUGGUCGGGUCAAAUUCUGUCUCAUUGUCUACUUCUUUGUAUGAAAAUACUUUGUAUUUACAUGCAAAGAGAGGCAUGAUGUAGACACGUAAUUUUGUCCCUCCCGAUAACCUAAUUCAUCCAUUUUUUUAACCUCACGGUACCUUACACCCCACCCGUGUGAUUAUGCCCCACAAAAAUACAAAAAUAAUAAAAUUUUAAUAAAUCCCUAAUAUUUCCUUAUCCUAAAACUUCAUCACAACACAUCACUACCCCAUACCACCUCACUACCCUACCCUUCAUAUUUUAUUCCACUUUGUAAACAAAUUAACAAAAAAGACAAACAAAGGACCUCACCAUUUCCAUUAAUAUACAAGACAACAUUCACAUGAGGGGACCCACAUCAUUAUUAUCAUUAUAUUCCCACCAUAGAAAAUACACACAGAAAGAAAGGGAACAAUUCCUCAUCAUCAUCAUCAAUAUUCCCCUUCACAAGAUAUACCAACACAUAGGCUUUUCAUCACCAUAUUCAUAUAUAGAGCACACAUCACCAUAUUCACACAUAAAGCAUACACAGAUCUCUCAGAUAACACUCACCAGUGACAUUAACACGUAGAGACGCGAAAGAGAGAAUAGAUUAGAGAAGGAGAAGAUGACAACAAAGAGAGGAGAGGCAAAAAGAACGUGACAGAGAGAAUAGAUUAGAGAAAGGGGAAAUUAGUCACCACCGUUAAGCUCGUCGGAGCUCUGGCAAUGCAAUAAUAGUUAUCAAAGAACUCCACUGGCAGGAAAUUCGAUGACCAAAACCUCACGGAACCCUAAAAAUCCAUCACUACCAGCAAAAUACGCCAGUUAAAUCACGUUAAACACCACUCCAAUCAGCUCGAAUCGCUGGUGAACCAACAAGCACAUGGCAGUUCGUCCAGCUCCUCUUCUCACGACCUACAUAAAAAUACAGAGAGAAAAUGGGUCUGGGUAAAAAGAAUUCGGAGUCGAGAUUUAUGAAUUGGGUUUCGACGUCGAGGUUAAAUUUUGGUCGAGGUUCAUUGAUUCGUGUGCUCCAAUCCAUCGCUAAUUGUUCGGAAUAAAAUUGAGGUCCAUUUCUUAUCUCGUUCUUGAUUAAUCUUUAUCGUUUGAUGCCUUAUGUGUGAAAUUGGUGAUGGGUGUAAGCCUUGUUUUGUUUGAUAAUGAUCUGUUUGAAUCAUCAUAAGUGUUUGUUGAUAUCGAUUUAUUAUUUGAGGUGAAUAAUUAUAUGAUUGAGAAUCGAGUAA